Molecule: ribosomal RNA, 253 nt
Filed under: uncultured bacterium
Lineage: Bacteria
Description: partial 16S ribosomal RNA
Rfam family: Bacterial small subunit ribosomal RNA
Source: RNAcentral
UACGUAGGGGGCUAGCGUUGUCCGGAAUCAUUGGGCGUAAAGCGCGUGUAGGCGGUUCGGUAAGUCUGCUGUGAAAGUCGGGGGCUCAACCCUUGAAUGCCGGUGGAUACUGCAGGGCUAGAGUCCGGAAGAGGCGAGUGGAAUUCCUGGUGUAGCGGUGAAAUGCGCAGAUAUCAGGAGGAACACCAAUGGCGAAGGCAGCACUCUGGGACGUGACUGACGCUGAGACGCGAAAGCGUGGGGAGCAAACAGG